UGGGGAAUUUUGGACAAUGGGCGAAAGCCUGAUCCAGCAAUGCCGCGUGUGUGAAGAAGGCCUUCGGGUUGUAAAGCACUUUUGUCCGGAAAGAAAUCCUUGGCUCUAAUACAGUCGGGGGAUGACGGUACCGGAAGAAUAAGCACCGGCUAACUACGUGCCAGCAGCCGCGGUAAUACGUAGGGUGCAAGCGUUAAUCGGAAUUACUGGGCGUAAAGCGUGCGCAGGCGGUUUGCUAAGACCGAUGUGAAAUCCCCGGGCUCAACCUGGGAACUGCAUUGGUGACUGGCAGGCUAGAGUAUGGCAGAGGGGGGUAGAAUUCCACGUGUAGCAGUGAAAUGCGUAGAGAUGUGGAGGAAUACCGAUGGCGAAGGCAGCCCCCUGGGCCAAUACUGGCGCUCAUGCACGAAAGCGUGGGGAGCAAACAGGAUUAGAUACCCUGGUAGUCCACGCCCUAAACGACGUCAACUAGUUGUUGGGGAUUCAUUUCCUUAGUAACGUAGCUAACGCGUGAAGUUGACCGCCUGGGGAGUACGGUCGCAAGAUUAAAACUCAAAGGAAUUGACGGGGUCAUAGCUGUUUCCU
This 585-nucleotide ribosomal RNA is filed under the name uncultured bacterium. RNAcentral's name for it is "partial 16S ribosomal RNA". It matches the Rfam family "Bacterial small subunit ribosomal RNA", at positions 355 to 1375 of the family's 1533-position model. The record is from RNAcentral.